Molecule: ribosomal RNA, 429 nt
Filed under: uncultured prokaryote
Description: bacterial SSU rRNA
Rfam family: Bacterial small subunit ribosomal RNA
Source: RNAcentral
UGGGGAAUCUUGCGCAAUGGGCGAAAGCCUGACGCAGCGACGCCGCGUGCGGGAAGAAGGCCUUCGGGUUGUAAACCGCUUUCAGGAGGGAAGAAGCGAAAGUGACGGUACCUCCAGAAGAAGCCCCGGCCAACUACGUGCCAGCAGCCGCGGUAAUACGUAGGGGGCGAGCGUUGUCCGGAAUUAUUGGGCGUAAAGAGCGUGUAGGCGGCUUGGUAAGUCUGUCGUGAAAUGCUGGGGCUCAACCCUGGACGUGCGAUGGAUACUGCUAGGCUAGAGGAUGGUAGAGGCGAGUGGAAUUCCCGGUGUAGCGGUGAAAUGCGCAGAUAUCGGGAGGAACACCAGUAGCGAAGGCGGCUCGCUGGGCCAUUCCUGACGCUGAGACGCGAAAGCGUGGGGAGCAAACAGGAUUAGAUACCCCGGUAGUCC